RNAcentral lists this ribosomal RNA (450 nucleotides) under uncultured bacterium. RNAcentral's name for it is "partial 16S ribosomal RNA". It matches the Rfam family "Bacterial small subunit ribosomal RNA", at positions 354 to 796 of the family's 1533-position model. The record is from RNAcentral.
GUGGGGAAUAUUCCGCAAUGGACGAAAGUCUGACGGAGCAACGCCGCGUGAGUGAUGAAGGUUUUCGGACUGUAAAGCUCUGUUGUUUAGGACGAAAGUGCCUGUUGCGAACAGUUACAGGUAUUGACGGUACUAAACGAGGAAGCCACGGCUAACUACGUGCCAGCAGCCGCGGUAAUACGUAGGUGGCAAGCGUUGUCCGGAAUUAUUGGGCGUAAAGAGCAUGUAGGCGGAGAUUUAAGUCUGUUUUGAAAAUGCGGGGCUCAACCCCGUAUUGCGAUGGAAACUGAAUUUCUUGAGUGCAGGAGAGGAAAGGGGAAUUCCCAGUGUAGCGGUGAAAUGCGUAGAUAUUGGGAGGAACACCAGUGGCGAAGGCGCCUUUCUGGACUGUGUCUGACGCUGAGAUGCGAAAGCCAGGGUAGCGAACGUGAUUAGAAACCCCGGUAGUCC